This 505-nucleotide ribosomal RNA is filed under the name uncultured bacterium. Its description in RNAcentral is "bacterial SSU rRNA". It matches the Rfam family "Bacterial small subunit ribosomal RNA", at positions 29 to 517 of the family's 1533-position model. The record is from RNAcentral.
AAUCAACGCUGGCGGCGUGCCUAACACAUGCAAGUCGAGCGCGAAAGCGGGGCAACUCGCAAGUAGAGCGGCGAACGGGUGAGUAACACGUGGGUGAUCUGCCUCCGAGGUGGGGAACAACAGCGGGAAACUGCUGCUAAUACCGCAUGACAUCUUCGGGUCACACUGAAGAUCAAAGGCCGGGGACCGCAAGGCCUGGCGCUUGGAGAGGAGCCCGCGUCCGAUUAGCUAGUUGGCGGGGUAAUGGCCCACCAAGGCUCCGAUCGGUAACCGGCCUGAGAGGGCGGACGGCCACACUGGGACUGAGACACGGCCCAGACUCCUACGGGAGGCAGCAGUGGGAAUUUUUCGCAAUGGGGGAAACCCUGACGAAGCAACGCCGCGUGGGGAUGAAGGUCUUCGGAUCGUAAACCCCUGUCGAUCGGGACGAAGCACCUGGCCUAACACGCCGGUGUGUUGACUGUACCGGUGGAGGAAGCCACGGCUAACUCUGUGCCAGCAGCCG